RNAcentral lists this ribosomal RNA (465 nucleotides) under Vreelandella stevensii. Its description in RNAcentral is "partial 16S ribosomal RNA". It matches the Rfam family "Bacterial small subunit ribosomal RNA", at positions 338 to 795 of the family's 1533-position model. Lineage: Bacteria; Pseudomonadati; Pseudomonadota; Gammaproteobacteria; Oceanospirillales; Halomonadaceae. The record is from RNAcentral.
CCUACGGGGGGCAGCAGUGGGGAAUAUUGGACAAUGGGGGCAACCCUGAUCCAGCCAUGCCGCGUGUGUGAAGAAGGCCCUCGGGUUGUAAAGCACUUUCAGUGAGGAAGAACGCCUGGUGGUUAAUACCCAUCAGGAAAGACAUCACUCACAGAAGAAGCACCGGCUAACUCCGUGCCAGCAGCCGCGGUAAUACGGAGGGUGCGAGCGUUAAUCGGAAUUACUGGGCGUAAAGCGCGCGUAGGUGGCUUGAUAAGCCGGUUGUGAAAGCCCCGGGCUCAACCUGGGAACGGCAUCCGGAACUGUCCAGCUAGAGUGCAGGUGAGGAAAGUAGAAAUCCCGGUGUAGCGGUGAAAUGCGUAGAGAUCGGGAGGAAUACCAGUGGCGAAGGCGGCCUUCUGGACUGACACUGACACUGAGGUGCGAAAGCGUGGGUAGCAAACAGGAUUAGAUACACUGGUAGUC